This 103-nucleotide microRNA precursor is filed under the name Marmota monax (woodchuck). The record is from RNAcentral. Lineage: Eukaryota; Metazoa; Chordata; Mammalia; Rodentia; Sciuridae.
AGAGGAAUAGCUGGGUCAAAUGAUGGUUCCAUUCCCAGAUUUCCAAGGAAUCUCCAUACUGCUUUCCAAAUUAGCUGCACCAAUUUGCAUUCCCACUAGCAGU